UGAGUAACCUGCCCUUGACUCUGGGAUAAGCCUGGGAAACCGGGUCUAAUACUGGAUAUGACUGCCGGCCGCAUGGUCUGGUGGUGGAAAGCUUUAUUGCGGUUUUGGAUGGACUCGCGGCCUAUCAGCUUGUUGGCGGGGUAAUGGCCCACCAAGGCGACGACGGGUAGCCGGCCUGAGAGGGUGACCGGCCACACUGGGACCGAGACACGGCCCAGACUCCGUACGGGAGGCAG
RNAcentral lists this ribosomal RNA (236 nucleotides) under uncultured bacterium. RNAcentral describes it as "partial 16S ribosomal RNA". It matches the Rfam family "Bacterial small subunit ribosomal RNA", at positions 118 to 351 of the family's 1533-position model. The record is from RNAcentral.